RNAcentral lists this ribosomal RNA (85 nucleotides) under uncultured fungus. Its description in RNAcentral is "partial 5.8S ribosomal RNA". It matches the Rfam family "5.8S ribosomal RNA", at positions 73 to 154 of the family's 154-position model. From Rfam's summary of the family: 5.8S ribosomal RNA (5.8S rRNA) is a component of the large subunit of the eukaryotic ribosome. It is transcribed by RNA polymerase I as part of the 45S precursor that also contains 18S and 28S rRNA. Functionally, it is thought that 5.8S rRNA may be involved in ribosome translocation. Lineage: Eukaryota; Fungi. The record is from RNAcentral.
UGCAGAAUUCAGUGAAUCAUCGUAAUCUUUGAACGCACCUUGCGCUCCUUGGUAUUCCGAGGAGCAUGCCUGUUUGAGUGUCAUU